GGGUUCCUAGGGUGGGGGUUUUCCCUUCCCUUGGGAUUCCCGUUCCCGUAGCUGAACCCAUUAAAUUACCCCCCCCUGGGGGAGUACGGCCCGCAAGGCUAAAAACUCAAAGGGAAAUUGGACGGGGGCCCGCACAAGCGGCGGAGCAUGUGGAUUAAUUCGAUGCAACGCGAAGAACCUUACCUGGGGUUUGACAUGCACAGGACGCCGGCAGAGAUGUCGGUUCCCUUGUGGCCGUGUGCAGGUGGUGCAUGGCUGUCGUCAGCUCGUGUCGUGAGAUGUUGGGUUAAGUCCCGCAACGAGCGCAACCCUUGUCUCAUGUUGCCAGCACGUUAUGGUGGGGACUCGUGAGAGACUGCCGGGGUCAACUCGGAGGAAGGUGGGGAUGACGUCAAGUCAUCAUGCCCCUUAUGUCCAGGGCUUCACACAUGCUACAAUGGCCGGUACAAAGGGCUGCGAUGCCGUGAGGUGGAGCGAAUCCUUUCAAAGCCGGUCUCAGUUCGGAUCGGGGUCUGCAACUCGACCCCGUGAAGUCGGAGUCGCUAGUAAUCGCAGAUCAGCAACGCUGCGGUGAAUACGUUCCCGGGCCUUGUACACACCGCCCGUCACGUCAUGAAAGUCGGUAACACCCGAAGCCGGUGGCCUAACCCGUAAGGGAGGGAGCCGUCGAAGGUGGGGCUGG
Molecule: ribosomal RNA, 682 nt
Filed under: uncultured Actinomycetes bacterium
Lineage: Bacteria; Bacillati; Actinomycetota; Actinomycetes
Description: bacterial SSU rRNA
Rfam family: Bacterial small subunit ribosomal RNA
Source: RNAcentral